GACGAACCCGUGCGAACGUUAUUCGGAAUCAUUGGGCUUAAAGCGCGUGUAGGCGGAUGGGAACGUCGGCUUUGAAAGCCCCCGGCUCAACCGGGGAAUCGGCGCCGAUACGGCCGAGCUGGAGGGGUGUAGGGGGGCCUGGAACUUCCGGUGGAGCGGUGAUAUGCGUUGAGAUCGGAAGGAACGCCCGAGGCGAAAGCGAGGCCCUGGACACUUACUGACGCUGAGACGCGAAAGCCAGGGGAGCAAACGGGAUUAGAUACCCUUGUAGU
RNAcentral lists this ribosomal RNA (272 nucleotides) under uncultured bacterium. Its description in RNAcentral is "partial 16S ribosomal RNA". It matches the Rfam family "Bacterial small subunit ribosomal RNA", at positions 524 to 794 of the family's 1533-position model. The record is from RNAcentral.